GCGCCUGUAGCUCAAUUGGAUAGAGCAACGGCCUUCUAAGCCGUCGGUUGCAGGUUCGAGCCCUGCCAGGCGUGCCA
This 77-nucleotide transfer RNA is filed under the name Alloalcanivorax dieselolei. RNAcentral describes it as "tRNA-Arg". It matches the Rfam family "tRNA". Rfam says of the family: Transfer RNA (tRNA) molecules are approximately 80 nucleotides in length. Their secondary structure includes four short double-helical elements and three loops (D, anti-codon, and T loops). RNAcentral also lists the same sequence under 8 other names. Lineage: Bacteria; Pseudomonadati; Pseudomonadota; Gammaproteobacteria; Oceanospirillales; Alcanivoracaceae. The record is from RNAcentral.